Chelonia mydas (Green sea turtle) is the source of this 185-nucleotide long non-coding RNA. RefSeq lists it as uncharacterized. Lineage: Eukaryota; Metazoa; Chordata; Testudines; Cheloniidae. The record is from RefSeq and is a predicted model, not a curated record. The transcript has 3 exons.
AGACGUGUGAUCUUCCUAGGGGUUUGGAAAUGUAACUUACCGUCCAGUUAACAUCUCCACUGUAGCAAGCCAAUGGUGGGUUUGUAGUGGUCCCUAUGGCGAGUGUAAUUUGAACGGCACAAUUAGAAACGCCCCCACUUGUACCCAAUCAGGAGGCUGGGAUGCCCCCCUAGGGGCACAUGAAC